UACGAACUUACAAAAUCUUAAUUAAAAAUAAAUUGAUAUCAUGUUCUGAAAAACUAUCGUAAUCCAAUGAUCUAUUUUUUCAGCUUACCACUCUUUACACGAGGCGUGUUGUCUCAAAUUAUGUUGUAUAAAUAUCAAAAUUAUAUCCAGAGUUUACUUGUAGCUGUUCUAAGUUGUUGAUACAAAUUAUUGGAAAAAACCUAAACAUUAUUAGAAGUAAAAUAAACAAUUAUUUAUUUUUAUACAUUAUUAAUAGAUUCGGAUAUUUUUAGUAUAAAGAAAGUCAGUCACUCCCAUGUAAAACACAGAAACCGAAAAUAGACCAACAAAAAGCCGGAAUUGCAUGAACUUGUUAUUUAUUUAUGUUAACAUGUUAGUUAGCAAUAAUGCAUUCCGUAUUCCAAAUUUACCUUCAAGAAAUUUUCGGUUUUUUAAACAAUUAUAACAAAAUCACAAUAUACAUUAGAAUUCCUUUUACUUGAACAAAGCUUUAUAUUGAAAUAAAACAUCUUCAACAAAAACAACGGCUAUAAACGAAGCUCGACUCAUUAAAUAAUCAUUAUCCGCUAAACCGUUAGUAUUUGCGCACCAUUACAAUUAUGAAGUCUUCUUCGUCUAACGUUUGCGCUAGUAUUACUACUGAAGAUUACAAAUCUUCUUUCAUGAAUGGAUUUGAUAUUAAGACGACAAAGCGGUAUACCAAAAAUACGGCAGAAGAAUUGGUUGAUCAUUAUGUCAACAUGAUGCUAAUAGACUUUAGACUAUCAGAUGAACAAAGUCUAUAUCUUUCACCUUAUGGAUGCGACGUUUUGAAAAAGUUCGAAUGAACGGAAUACAAAAUGUUUAAAGACGUUUGACGAUAGGAGGAUGUGUUUCAAAUUAUUUAUUAAAAUAAUAUAUUUAUUUGUAUUUGUAUAUAAACUUGCAGUGUUUGUAAAAUAAUUUAUUAAAUAUUAAAUAAAAAUGUUUUGUGAAUAUUUUAGUCACGCUCUAUUAAUGCAUUUUGGCAACAACUUGGUUUGAAAACAUAAUAAGAUAAUGACGUCACUAAGAAAAUGACACGUUUUUAAACAAAAUAUUUGUUAAUUAAAAGCUACUACUUUGCAAUAUCGAAAGUUUGUUGCGAUUCGAAAUCAAAUUCAUAUUUUAAUGUUCCUGAGAAAAUAAAUUCUGUUUUAAAAACAUUCGGAGAGUACUCUAAUUGUAUUUUAUACAAAUAUGAAAUACAAUGAGAGUAUACUAAAAAUGGUUGUAACAGAAAAGACAAAGGCUGGUAAAUUCAUAAAGCAAACCGCCGACUACCAACUUGCACUAUACCGAUUUGUAACAAUUUGUAAUUGGCAUUCUCUGUUUUAAACUUAUUUUUUCUGUUUAUAAAUUAUUUCUUUGUAUUAUUCUUAUCUUUGUAUUAUAAAUUGUAUAAUUGUAAAAAUAAUUAAUUCGAAUAA
Molecule: long non-coding RNA, 1448 nt
Organism: Hydra vulgaris (swiftwater hydra)
Lineage: Eukaryota; Metazoa; Cnidaria; Hydrozoa; Anthoathecata; Hydridae
Source: RefSeq, a predicted model, not a curated record